UAACUGUUUAGAACUCUGGAAAAGAUUGUGAGCAAGACUUUAUAGCACAAACAUUUAUAACCACCCUAAAAGAACACAGUUGAUCUCAGAGUUCCAUGACAGUUGGAGGCUAAGGUGGUCAAUUUCUUGUAAAGUGGGGAAGGGUGGGAGGAGAGGGAAAGACUACUUAAGGGAGAAAGGGUUGUGGCAAGUAUCCCAAAGAAAAGUAAUUUGGUAUCUUGAACUGGUAUUUUAGUAGUAAAACAAAACAAAACUCAUUUUUCCUUUUUGAUUUACAUUACAAAUUUCAGAAUUUUCUUAGGUAAGAUACUAAGGCAAACAUUUAAGUUGGACAUAGGAUGGGAUGAAAGAAGAAAAGGUAUAUUUUUGGCAAGAUAUAAGAUACUUUUAGCUUUAUUUCAAGAUUUUGCUUUUUGAAGUCUUAAAAACUGAUGCUUCUCUCUCCUUAGAGAAGAUAGCAGUCAAUAGUUUCACAUCUUUUGGGGAAUGAAGAUUUAUUUCUGCAGGUCAGGAAGGACAAAUGUUGAAAUUAUACUUGAUUUCCUUAAAAGGACGGAUGGCAUUAGAAGAAACAUAGGGUGCUACCUUUGAUGUGACAAACCUUCCUAACAUUUAGUGAUUCUACAUUCAGGGAAGAGAAACAUGGCUCAUACCCGCAGGAAUUUGAUCUUCUUAGAAUUUGACAUUAAAGAAUGCAGAGAGGGGAUGUUUCAAUCUAUGUUAACAGCUCCUGGGUCUACUUCAUACUGAUACAGGGCUGAAAUCAAAUUGGGGAAUUGACAGUUCUUGGUCUUCAGCCUAAGAAAGAGUGGAAUAAAUGGCAAAUGGAUGGAUAUAGAAUUUUCACUACUACUAUCUUCCUCAUCUAAUCUUUGUGGGCCCAGCUUGGGUGACUUCAGGCAAUUUGAUGAAUCAUUUUGAGCUUCAGUUUCCUCAUCUUUAAAUUUUGCCCAGUUUUGCCUCAGUAGCUUCAGAAGUUGGGUGGAGAAAUAAGACCUAAAAAGACUUCAGUGACCUGGCAAGGUAAU
Long non-coding RNA from Sarcophilus harrisii (Tasmanian devil), 1028 nucleotides. RefSeq lists it as uncharacterized. The transcript is spliced from 6 exons. NCBI's taxonomy places the organism in Eukaryota, Metazoa, Chordata, Mammalia, Dasyuromorphia, Dasyuridae. The record is from RefSeq and is a predicted model, not a curated record.